AAAAAAAAGAAGAAAAAAAAUCUUUCCAAACAUCUAACCUAAGACCCAAAAAAAAAAAAAAAAAUCUUUUCAAAUUUUUACUUAAUUAUCUUAAUUUUGUAGCUAUUUAUUUCUAUAUUUGUAAAAGAUAUGAAUAUUUAUGCUAAUAGUAUAAAUCUUGAGAGAAAAAAUUUAAUUUAAUAGCCGAAUUUUUUAUCCCGAAUUUUUAAUUGGUAAACGUAUAAUAUCCGAAUAAAUCACGUAUCCGAAUAAUUGAUGAAUCUGUUUUUUAGCCGUAUUUUUCAACGAAUUUAAAAAUUAAAAGACGAAUUUUAUCCGAAUUAUACCCGUACCGAAUUUUUGCCGAAUCCGAAUUAACUAACUAUGUGUUAGACACUAAU
RNAcentral lists this long non-coding RNA (380 nucleotides) under Ananas comosus (pineapple). RNAcentral describes it as "long non-coding RNA (ACOM_LNC006802)". Lineage: Eukaryota; Viridiplantae; Streptophyta; Magnoliopsida; Poales; Bromeliaceae. The record is from RNAcentral.